AAUGAACGCUGGCGGCAGGCCUAACACAUGCAAGUCGAACGGAGUUAUAUUGUAGCCUGCUAUGGUAUAACUUAGUGGCAGACGGGUGAGUAAUGUAUAGGAAUCUACCUAGUAGUACGGAAUAAUUGUUGGAAACGGCAACUAAUACCGUAUACGCCCUACGGGGGAAAAAUUUAUUGCUAUUAGAUGAGCCUAUAUUAGAUUAGCUAGUUGGUGGAGUAAUAGCCUACCAAGGCAAUGAUCUAUAGCUGAUCUGAGAGGAUGAUCAGCCACACUGGAACUGAGAUACGGUCCAGACUCCUACGGGAGGCAGCAGUGGGGAAUAUUGGACAAUGGGCGAAAGCCUGAUCCAGCCAUGCCGCAUGAGUGAAGAAGGCCCUUGGGUUGUAAAGCUCUUUUAGUGAGGAAGAUAAUGACGGUACUCACAGAAGAAGUCCUGGCUAACUCCGUGCCAGCAGCCGCGGUAAUACGGAGAGGGCUAGCGUUAUUCGGAAUUAUUGGGCGUAAAGGGCGCGUAGGCGGAUUAGUAAGUUAAAAGUGAAAUCCCAAGGCUCAACCUUGGAAUUGCUUUUAAAACUGCUAAUCUAGAGAUUGAAAGAGGAUAGAGGAAUUCCUAGCGUAGAGGUGAAAUUCGUAAAUAUUAGGAGGAACACCAGUGGCGAAGGCGUCUAUCUGGUUCAAAUCUGACGCUGAGGCGCGAAGGCGUGGGGAGCAAACAGGAUUAGAUACCCUGGUAGUCCACGCUGUAAACGAUGAAUGUUAAAUAUGGGAAGUUUUACU
This 780-nucleotide ribosomal RNA is filed under the name uncultured bacterium. RNAcentral describes it as "bacterial SSU rRNA". It matches the Rfam family "Bacterial small subunit ribosomal RNA", at positions 28 to 838 of the family's 1533-position model. The record is from RNAcentral.